Long non-coding RNA from Equus caballus (horse), 2604 nucleotides. Lineage: Eukaryota; Metazoa; Chordata; Mammalia; Perissodactyla; Equidae. The record is from Ensembl.
UUUGGGAUUUCCACAUUAGCUGCCCUCUCUCCUUGCUCAGCACUGUGCAAUAAUAAAAUUCCUACUUUCUUCCACUACACCCGAUGUUGGAGAUUGGCUUGCUGCACAAGGGGUGAGCGAACUCACUUCAGGUUCAUUAUCAUCAGGAUACAAGGUUUUCUGACGAAGAACCAGGAAAGCCGGUGGUGUAAUUCAGUCUAAGUCUGAAGGCAUGAGAACUGGGAGAGUUGAUGGGGAUUACCAUGUGAUGGCAAUUUCCACCUUGAAUCAGAGCGGUAGGAAAACUAACAAAGGAAGAAUCACGAAGGGCAUCUGCUGAUGACAGCAAAGGCUAUGGAGGGGCUGGAAUGGAAAAUUCUGGGAACAAGACUGAAGUUUCCCUUAAAAGCUACACAGCACUUUUUGCAUGGAUCUCUUAACAGUUUUUCCUUCUCCGUCUAACAGUAGAUGGCAAUGAUCUAGAAUGUAGGACUGCAGUAAGCAAUUUUAGGUGAACUAAUGGUAAAAAAUAACCUGAGAGUUUGCAUAUGUUGCCACAAUUUAUAUACAACCAAGAAAUUUUAUGGUACAGCAUUAAAUAAGAAUAGCUUAGCUAGAUAAUGUCUAUAAGCGAUGACCUUCCACUGCCCUCAUGUGUUCACAGUAGCAGCAGAUGCCUUGAUAACUACCAGGAUUGAUUCAUGCCAAUCUCUCCUAUUACAGUUGCUCUCAAAGGCUUUUCUAUUGCUGCAGUAAGUGCCAACGCAGCUAUAAUGCUCUGCUUUAAUUAAGUUCUUUCAACUAUAAUCUAAAUCCUACAUGCUUCAUGCCAAUUGUCAUAACUACGAGCUUUAAUCUGACAUUUCAAAAAACGGAAUUUCAAAUAUCAAAUAUGCAUUCCAUAUUUCUCUCCCUACAAAAACAUUCAAACUGUGCCAAUAUUGGGUUUCAGGAUUAUUUAUUUGAUCAAAAAUUUAUUAAUAAGCUGGUAAAAAAAAAACCCUCUAAAGUUAUUUUUGGAAAGAUUGGGGAAAUGUUAGUUAUGGACUGGGUGUUAGAUGAUAUUAGGAAACUAUGCUAUUUUUCUUAGGUGUAAUAAUGCUCUUGCAGUUUGUACGGAAAAGUCUUUACUUUUAGGAAAUACUAAUUGAACUGUUUAUAGAUAAAGUGUCAUGACAUCUCCAAGUUACUUGUUAAUAGGUCCAAUCAAAAAAUAAAUACACAAAAUUAUAGAUGACAAUAAAGAUUAAACAAAUAUCAAAAUUAUUGAAUGUAGGUUGUGGAUAUAUGUGCUAUUUAUAUCAAUUUUGCAUCUUUUUGGCAUAUUUGCAUAUUUUCAUAAUAAAAUGCUAAAAAACUUAAUCCUAUACUACAUGCCAAAGACAGAGGCACUGAGGUUGCAAAGAAAAAUAAAAGCAAGUCCCUGACUUCAUAGUCCAAUAGCUAAUUAAAGGGAUGUAAAUACAUAUAAUUAUUGUAAUUUGUAAUGGAUAUAGUACUAGAGGUAGGUAGCAAGAUACUUGACAGAAGAUGAAGAAAAUAAUUCUGCCUACAGACGUCAAGCAAACGUUUCCACGGGGACUGAUGCGUGCAUAGGGGCUCAAAAAAUACACAAGCAGGGGCCUGGCCCAGUGGUGUAGUGGUUAAGUUCACACACACUGCUUCGGGAGUCUGGGAUUCACGGGUUCAGAUCCUGGGCAAGGACCUACGCACCGCUCAUCAAGCCAUGCUGAGACAGCGUCCCACAUACAAAAUGAAGGAAGACUGGCACAGAUUUUAGCUCAGCGACAAUCUUUCUCAAGCAAAAAGAGGAGGAUUUCCAACAAAUGUUAGCUCAGGGCCAAUCUUCCUCACCAAAACAAAAGAAAAAAGAAAACACGAGCAGGGAGGGUACUGUUGGCAGAGUCAAGUGAUGAGUAUCCCUGUAGAAGCCUGAAACAGCACGAAAGAGUUGGGGAAGAGCACACUCAGGUGACUUGGCCGCUAAGGAUAAUGUGGAAAGAGUGGAAGAAGAGUCUGGAAAGCCUCACUGACUGGGGAUCUAGAAAGAAGAAGAGUACAUGCUGCUAAAGAGUUGCAACAUUUUUCUGGAGACAAUGUGAAGCCUUAAAAAUCAAAAACUUCUUGUCAGCUAGACAUAUACAGAUAUCGAAUGAUUAUGUUGUACAACUGAAACUAACAUAAUGUUAUAUGCCAAUUACAUCUCAAUAAAAGCAAUGGUAAUGAAGGGGAUGGCAUGCUCAUUGAUCCAUGACUUUCCAACAGAGUAGUUAUUCAAACUUGUGGGUCAAAAUGACUUCCUGGUCAGUAUCAUAUAGAAAUGACCUUAAAGUUUCCCAACAAUUCGAAGAAAAUCAUGGUUGAUUUUUUUUUUGAGCAUGAUUAGCCCUGAGCUAACAUCUGCUGCCAAUCCUCCUCUUUUUGCUGAGGAAAACUGCCCUGAGCUAAUGUCUAUGCCCAUCUUCCUCUACUUUAUAUGUGGGACGCCUACCACAGCAUGGCUUGCUGAGCAGUGCCACGUCCGCACCCAAGAUCCGAACCACCGAACCCCGGCUGCUGAAUUGGAACGUGCACACUUAACCACUGUGCCACUGAGCCAGCCCAUGGUUGAUUUUUUUGAUUAAA